RNAcentral lists this ribosomal RNA (423 nucleotides) under uncultured bacterium. Its description in RNAcentral is "partial 16S ribosomal RNA". It matches the Rfam family "Bacterial small subunit ribosomal RNA", at positions 360 to 775 of the family's 1533-position model. The record is from RNAcentral.
AAUUUUGGACAAUGGGGGCAACCCUGAUCCAGCCAUCCCGCGUGUGCGAUGAAGGCCUUCGGGUUGUAAAGCACUUUUGGCAGGGAAGAAAAGGCGCCGGUUAAUACCUGGCGCCGCUGACGGUACCUGCAGAAUAAGCACCGGCUAACUACGUGCCAGCAGCCGCGGUAAUACGUAGGGUGCAUGCGUUAAUCGGAAUUACUGGGCGUAAAGCGUGCGUAGGCGGUUUGGCGAGAAAGAUGUGAAAUCCCAGGGCUUAACCUUGGAACUGCAUUUUUAACUGCCAGGCUAGAGUAUGUCAGAGGGGGGUAGAAUUCCACGUGUAGCAGUGAAAUGCGUAGAGAUGUGGAGGAAUACCGAUGGCGAAGGCAGCCCCCUGGGAUAAUACUGACGCUCAGGCACGAAAGCGUGGGGAGCAAACAG